Octodon degus (degu) is the source of this 381-nucleotide non-coding RNA. Lineage: Eukaryota; Metazoa; Chordata; Mammalia; Rodentia; Octodontidae. The record is from the annotation of a RefSeq genome assembly.
AUGAGCUAUAACUUUCUUUGCUGUGUGGCAUUCUGCCUCCUUCAGGCAGGUCCAGGAAAUGCUGGCCUCACUCAGACCCCCACAGCCCAGGUCCUGAAGGCAGGCCAGCGCAUGACACUGAGCUGUGCCCAGGACUUGAAGCACGACAGCAUGUACUGGUACCGCCAGGAUCUGGGGCUAGGGCUGAGGCUUGUCUAUUACUCAUUUGACGUUAACCUCACUGAAAAAGGAGAAGUCCCUGAUGGGUACACGGUGUCCAGAUCCAGUAGCGAGAACUUCCCGCUCACCCUGGAGUCGGCCAGCCCCUCCCAGACAGCGGUGUACUUCUGUGCCAGCAGUUACUCCACAGUGCUACACAGCUGCCUCUGCUCUGCACGUUAA